GAACGCUGGCGGCGUGCUUAACACAUGCAAGUCGAGCGGAAAGGCCCUUCGGGGUACUCGAGCGGCGAACGGGUGAGUAACACGUGAGCAACCUGCCCUAGGCUUUGGGAUAACCCCGGGAAACCGGGGCUAAUACCGAAUAGGACUUCUGACCGCAUGGUUGGGGGUGGAAAGUUUUUCGGCCUGGGAUGGGCUCGCGGCCUAUCAGCUUGUUGGUGGGGUGAUGGCCUACCAAGGCGACGACGGGUAGCCGGCCUGAGAGGGCGACCGGCCACACUGGGACUGAGACACGGCCCAGACUCCUACGGGAGGCAGCAGUGGGGAAUAUUGCACAAUGGGCGGAAGCCUGAUGCAGCGACGCCGCGUGAGGGAUGACGGCCUUCGGGUUGUAAACCUCUUUCAGCAGGGACGAAGCGUAAGUGACGGUACCUGCAGAAGAAGCGCCGGCCAACUACGUGCCAGCAGCCGCGGUAAGACGUAGGGCGCGAGCGUUGUCCGGAUUUAUUGGGCGUAAAGAGCUCGUAGGCGGC
Molecule: ribosomal RNA, 530 nt
Filed under: Micromonospora chaiyaphumensis
Lineage: Bacteria; Bacillati; Actinomycetota; Actinomycetes; Micromonosporales; Micromonosporaceae
Description: bacterial SSU rRNA
Rfam family: Bacterial small subunit ribosomal RNA
Source: RNAcentral